GCAGUAGCCGCGGGAAUACAGAGGGUGCAAGCGUUAAUCGGAAUUACUGGGCGUAAAGCGCGCGUAGGUGGUUUGUUAAGUUGGAUGUGAAAUCCCCGGGCUCAACCUGGGAACUGCAUCCAAAACUGGCAAGCUAGAGUAUGGUAGAGGGUGGUGGAAUUUCCUGUGUAGCGGUGAAAUGCGUAGAUAUAGGAAGGAACACCAGUGGCGAAGGCGACCACCUGGGCUCAUACUGACGCUGAUGCACGAAAGCUAGGGGAGCAAACAGGAUUAGAUACCCCAGUAGUCCCUGUCUCUUAUCU
Molecule: ribosomal RNA, 302 nt
Filed under: uncultured bacterium
Lineage: Bacteria
Description: partial 16S ribosomal RNA
Rfam family: Bacterial small subunit ribosomal RNA
Source: RNAcentral